RNAcentral lists this ribosomal RNA (497 nucleotides) under uncultured bacterium. RNAcentral's name for it is "partial 16S ribosomal RNA". It matches the Rfam family "Bacterial small subunit ribosomal RNA", at positions 28 to 507 of the family's 1533-position model. The record is from RNAcentral.
GAUGAACGCUGGCGGCGUGCCUAAUACAUGCAAGUCGAGCGAACAGACGAGGAGCUUGCUCCUUUGACGUUAGCGGCGGACGGGUGAGUAACACGUAGGUAACCUACCUAUAAGACUGGGAUAACUUCGGGAAACCGGAGCUAAUACCGGAUAAUAUUUCGAACCGCAUGGUUCGGUAGUGAAAGAUGGCUUUGCUAUCACUUAUAGAUGGACCUGCGCCGUAUUAGCUAGUUGGUAAGGUAACGGCUUACCAAGGCAACGAUACGUAGCCGACCUGAGAGGGUGAUCGGCCACACUGGAACUGAGACACGGUCCAGACUCCUACGGGAGGCAGCAGUAGGGAAUCUUCCGCAAUGGGCGAAAGCCUGACGGAGCAACGCCGCGUGAGUGAUGAAGGUCUUCGGAUCGUAAAACUCUGUUAUUAGGGAAGAACAAACGUGUAAGUAACUGUGCACGUCUUAACGGUACCUAAUCAGAAAGCCACGGCUAACUACGUG